CUGAAGAAAUGGUAGGGUUGAUGCUGGCUCUUUGGAGUAUGUGCUCGCUCUAUCGCUCCUUCUACUCUCCACUGUGCACCUUUUGUAGGCUUGCAAUAUGGGAAGAAGUGCUCGCACACACAUUGUGUUUGCUUGCCUUCGACUUUUUGUAGCCUAUGUCCAUAUACACUCUAGUAUUCUUGAAUGUGUAUUGUUGGUCUUUGACCGAUAAACCUUAUA
This 219-nucleotide unclassified non-coding RNA is filed under the name uncultured Agaricales. RNAcentral's name for it is "sequence contains ITS1". Lineage: Eukaryota; Fungi; Basidiomycota; Agaricomycetes; Agaricales. The record is from RNAcentral.